CAAUGCUGAUGAGUCCUAAACAGGACGAAACAGCUGUUCAGUGC
RNAcentral lists this non-coding RNA (44 nucleotides) under Echinostoma caproni. Lineage: Eukaryota; Metazoa; Platyhelminthes; Trematoda; Plagiorchiida; Echinostomatidae. The record is from RNAcentral.